Long non-coding RNA from Vespula vulgaris, 4382 nucleotides. RefSeq lists it as uncharacterized. Lineage: Eukaryota; Metazoa; Arthropoda; Insecta; Hymenoptera; Vespidae. The record is from RefSeq and is a predicted model, not a curated record. The transcript has 5 exons.
AACCACUCGUCAGUGCGCUCUUCGUGGCAGCACAUGUAUUUAUGACACUUUGAUGCUCUGCUAACCUGCGAUUAUAUAUUGUGAAAAAGAGGUUACUAUUUAUAUUCAGCGAAGAAAUAAUCUUGAAAGUUGCUAGUGAGGUUAGGAUUCAAAUGCAUUCAAUAUAUCAACUACUACGUCAUCAAGUUUCUGAAAAACGAAAUUAGUGAAGCCUGAUAAAGUGAAUAUUCAAAUAAGUUUGCAGUAAAAGAAGAAGAAACAUCACUAAAGAUGUUGCUAAAACGUUAGCUUGUAGAGUUCAAUAGUUUCUUGUCGAAAUUGUAUAAACCAAAAACAAUGUUUUAAAUCGAAUAACUAUGAGGAUAAUGAUAAAAAUGAAAAUACGACUUCAUGGAGGAAGGAGAAUCUAUCUGAAAGACUGGUUUUGACAGAAAGAUUAUCAAGGCUUGUCUCCCAGACAAUACCAUUGAUUAACUAUUAGAAUAUUGUGGUCAAGCCAUACGAUACAUUAAACAUAACCUAAAUAUUAUGAAAAGAGCUAUAUGUACAACAGUUUUUCAUAUAGUAUCUGUGGACGACAAAAUUUUCUUCAAGCGAUUGGUGUAAAUGUAAAAUAGUUGGGGCAGAGCUUUAUUUACAAAAAUUCUUUACCCAAGUCUGUUGCAUUGACUAUAAGGCCAUUUUAAAGAAAUUUGACAUAUUCAGAUGUAUUGAAGAAAUGUCUCGCAAAGAAGACAAUGUAAAUGAUCCUUUUAAUAACGUUGUGUGAACAAGUGUACCAAAGAAUGUAUUUGUGCAAUCUCAUUCAUUGAAGCUUGGUUUAUAUGAUGCAGUUAUUAUAUUUACUGCUGAUAUUGCAUGCAGAUUGGAAGAGUUAGGAGGUAAAACGGCUGUUGAGAAAAGGAGCAAGUUGAUAAAGCACAGCUACAAACCUAGGUACUAUCUAAAAAAGCAAGAUUUUUGGAAAGAUGAAAGAGAAUUCAUUUAGAUAAUACAAAAGAAGAAGAAGAAGAAACAUUAUGGUGAUGGAUGGUUUUGACUGCUGUUUUUACUAAAAAGGCAAAUAUCAAGAUCUCUCUCCGUGGGUUGAUAGAGAAAGAAUUAGUUUGCAUGUUUUAAGAAAAUCGAGACAAAAUAAGAAAUCGAGUCAAACAGAGUAUUCGAUAAGUCAAAAGAGUAUCGAAAGAAUCGUCGAGGAUUUAAUAGACGAAGAAAAUCAACUAUACCUUAUAUUAUUGUUCAUUUUGUUAUCAUCAAGAGAACGCGAUCUAGGUGUAGAUUGAAGUUUACGUCUCAAUAUCUUCAUUCUUAUCGAAUUACAAAAAAUAUUAUAGAAUGAUCGCUACGUUGUUGAAAAAGUGGGCGUUCAUGAAGGUCCCUACGAGACAUCCACUGCGACUAAAUAUAUUAAAUGCUGGGUGAACAAUAUGAAUGAAUUAACAACGAACGAGGACAUCGAAAAUAUCUAAGGACAGAUAUUAGCGCAGAAUGGCUGAAUGCACGAAAAAUUUAGUUUAAGGAAUGUAAUUAUAGACAGAUUUGAUAUACACGCCCCCACAUAAUUCCGCAUGAAACGAACUUUAACAUUUAACAAGCAACAACGUGUGUACAAUUAGCAGAUUUACAAGCUUUCUUAAGAAAGUAAUAAUUUUUCCGAAACGUUUGUAAAUCGCGUCCUCUUAACCGAGUUCCUUCCGAAAACAGAGGACAACACGUUGUUUUAUAUCAAAUUCUCUCAGUACUUAGUUACUACUCGUUACUAUUCUCUUCGAGUUUAUUUCGAACUCAUCUAGGCUCUCGUAUAUAUCCUCCAUCUCUAUAAUUGUCGUCCUGAUAACUAAAGUCUUCGCUUUCUUGCAAGAUUCCUUGUAUUCCGAAGUUUUUGGUUCCAACCGACGCGAGAUUUUCAUAAAUCAAAGUGGGACCCAUCUCUUGACUUUCUUUCCAGAAGGAAAUUCUCCUUCUAGGCGCUUUCUUGUUGUAGAUUACAGUAUCAUAGACAUGAAAAGGACUAUAAAGUACCACGAGUCUAUCCCAUCUGAUGGCUGACCUGGUAUUCACCUGAAGCAUACAUCCACUCCUUAUGGAAGAAAAAUCACAGUUUAAAAACAACCCCGAAAAAUCGACUAUUUUAAGCGUAGAUCUCUCUUCUUUUUUCCUCUUCUUUCAUUCUCGGAUUGCUCCUGGGUUAUACUCUUCCUUUCUUCAAGCAUUUCCCUCACUCAACCCAAACUUUGUGGCUUCACUGAAACGUUUACUAAAACGGAAAUUAUAUCCGGUAGAAUUUUCUUGGUACAUGUUCUUUUAUUAAAACAACUUUUCCUUCUUUUUUGAACAUUGAUAUGAAAUAUUUAGUUCAUUGCCUCCUUAAUGCCUGCAUCCUCGGAAUAUUCUAACUCAUCCAUCUAUGAAAUAUCUAACAGUUAAAUGCUACGUAGGCCAUCUGAGUUCGAAUGGACGAUUUUAUUUCUUUUUCUCAUAGAGAAUAUCACAUCAUUGAUUUUCCUUGAAAUUUUGUAUAUAAAAUUCUUUUAAACUUGUUUUAUUUUACUUAGCUUUUUUAAUUGCUUCUGUGCUUUUCCCUUCCUACGUUGAGGGUUAUAAUAACCCUCAUAAUAAUAAGUUUAAAUAACUACACCUUUUUGAACUUUUAAAUUUUCCAUCUCGAUCAUAUUAGGCGUUUAUUUUACAGGACUUAAUUUCCAUUUGCUCUCACGAUUCUGUGAAUUUCAUCUAAUUUUAUCUUAAACAUCGAUCCAUAAGCAUAAGGUAUACAUAUAUACUAUAAGAAAGAGGAUUUCCAUAUCAGAUGGACAACCCUGAAGAAGAUCCAAUGAUAUUAUUAAAUUUCUUGCAAUAAGCAUUUCCGCUGGAGACAAUCCAGUCUUCUUAUGUUUUCCAGAUCUAUAGAUCCUCAAACAUAACGGGAUCCAUCGAUCCCAAUUGUUUCGAUCUUGAGUUAAGUAAUUUAUUAUCGUCCUAUGCUGACGUUCAACUUGACCGUCUGAUUACAAAUAUAACAUUGUUAUCUUAGUUUAUCGGAUUACUAAUUUCCUUAAAUAACUUAGAUUCAACAUUUCUACUCUGAUCGGUUUGUAAUUCUCAAGGUACUCAGUGUAUAGAAACAAUUUGCUCAUGUAGCAAUAAUAUAAUAGUGAAUUAAUCAACUACUGUUUUAAAAAUUACAACUACUAUUUUCGUCAUAAAAUUCCUAAGGGGAAAUACUUCUAACCAUUUACUGAAAUAGUCUAUUACUACCAGAAAAAAUUUAUUUACUCAUGAAGAUUUUGGAAAAAGAUCUAAAAUACUCAUUUGCAUUCGUUCAAAAGGCAUUCCGUAUACGUUGUAAAUCAGCAUCUCACUCUUUCCUUUUCUUGUUGGAUCUUUUCUGGCAACGCAAAUUGUAUAUGUUUUGCACUAAUCUUUUAUCUCCUAUUUAUAGGAUAAUAUCUUUCCAAUAAUAUCUUUUCCGAAUUCUCUGCGAAGUUUUAUUUACGAUAUUUGUCUAGAAAGUAUCCAAUCUUUUGCUUCAAUCUUGUACCUGGAUAUGCUAUUGUUAAAAAUAGGUCAUUAUUUAGGGGAAAUUUUGAUAAGAGCCUCUGUCAGGUAGUCUUCGGUUGAUAACGAUAUGCUGUUGAAUAUCGUACUCAUCGCAUUUCAUGAUGAUUGAACGCAUCGAAGAAAUAAUGUGCAUUAAAUUUUGCCAAAAACUUGACGAUUCGUGUUUAAAAACCAUCCACAUGAUUCGCAAAGUACAUGAGUGAGGAAGAAGUUAUUCACCAUGAAUAUGCUCUAACAUGAAUAAAAAGUAUUACAAAAAAAUGUUGGAACAAUUGCGUGACAUGAUAAGAAAAAACAAUCAAAUUUGUGAAAAAAUGACAACUGGAUGCUGCAUCGUGAUAAGACUUGCCUAUUCAUCAAUUUAUUCGACAAUUUUUUUUGAGAUGCAGCUUUGUCAGCACUUAUACAGUUCUGAUCUAAUUCCCUGCGACUUCUGGGAAUUGAAAAAUACUCUUAAGGGAAAACGAUUCAAUGGCAUGAAGGAAGUAAAACAGAACGCGAUGAAACGGCUGUUAGCUGUUCCGAAAGUUAAGUACAAAGAGUGUUUCUGAAAGUGAGAGGAUCAUUGGAAGUACGUUGUAGCUUUUAAAGGGAAUUUUCAAGAGGAUAUUUAAUUCUUUCUUCUGCUAUAGUACAAAAUCGAAUACUUUCUGGACAAACCUUGUACACCGAAGUAUCCUCCCAUGGAACCAUCAUGCAUUUCUCACAAAAUAUCUUCAAUUCAUAUUUCGCCUGAGAAACAACGAUUUGAAUAAUAUGAAAUUUUAUACUUGGAUCCUCCUAUUUCCUUCUUUCAAUAAAUUAUUUAAUUAUGCCAAGUA